Molecule: long non-coding RNA, 696 nt
Organism: Amphibalanus amphitrite
Lineage: Eukaryota; Metazoa; Arthropoda; Thecostraca; Balanomorpha; Balanidae
Exons: 2
Source: RefSeq, a predicted model, not a curated record
AUUGUUUGAACCACUUCAGAAGCUCGACGUCAGCUAUUCACCUUAGGAGCAUUGGUGGUCCCAUUGAGUUUCACCCAAACCAACAACAAUGGGAUGGACUCUACAUUUAGCCCUGUCGGCCGCCAUCGUCACCGCCGUCUUGGCCACGUGUCCCUCCUCCGAAUGGAAGCAGUUCCGGGACACGUGCUACUGGAGGUCGGAUGUUCAACACAGUUGGCAAGACGCUGUAAAUAGGUGUCCAAUCACUUUGCCCGGCUCCACCAUCAUCUCGAUUCAUGGCCAGGACCUGAACACCUUCAUCGCUGAGGAUCUUCUCCAGGGCUAUUACGCCUGGCUGGGAUUGGACAGGACUUCUCCCUCGGCACCAUGGGUCUGGACGGACGGAUCGGCGUUCAACUAUAGCAACUUUUACGACGGCAUUGAUAAUUGUGAUGAAAGUCAUUGUUGCACAAUGAUCAACCAUAAUACGCAACGGGGUAGUUGGUUUGGUCACAACUGUGGUAUUCGCUAUUACUUCGUGUGUCAGAUUGAAGCGUCAUAAAUUCUAGGUAGCCGUUAACAAGUUGAAAACAACGCCGCUUGCGGCUUUUUGAUGGCCCGAUUUUCUAUUUUCGAUGUCGCUCAAAUGUUCGGAAUUGUUUGAAACAUGUGUUUUAGAAAGGGCAAAUUGAUAUUUAAUAUCAGCGUGUUACAUUA